Molecule: non-coding RNA, 30 nt
Filed under: Mus musculus (house mouse)
Lineage: Eukaryota; Metazoa; Chordata; Mammalia; Rodentia; Muridae
Source: RNAcentral
UGGGAUGUUAAUAUUGAGUGAGUUGAUCUG